GCGGGGCGUGGUGGCGCUCGCCUGUAAUCCCAGCUACUCAGGAGGCUGAGGCAGGAGAAUCGCUUGAACCCAGGAGGCGCAGGUUGCAGUGAGCAGAGAUUGCGCCACUGCACUCUACCCUGGGCAACAGAGCAAUACACCGCCUCAA
Molecule: unclassified non-coding RNA, 148 nt
Organism: Pongo abelii (Sumatran orangutan)
Lineage: Eukaryota; Metazoa; Chordata; Mammalia; Primates; Hominidae
Rfam family: Metazoan signal recognition particle RNA
About the family: The signal recognition particle (SRP) is a universally conserved ribonucleoprotein.
Source: Ensembl